Molecule: ribosomal RNA, 590 nt
Filed under: Pseudomonadaceae bacterium
Lineage: Bacteria; Pseudomonadati; Pseudomonadota; Gammaproteobacteria; Pseudomonadales; Pseudomonadaceae
Description: bacterial SSU rRNA
Rfam family: Bacterial small subunit ribosomal RNA
Source: RNAcentral
GGAUUAGCUAGUUGGUGAGGUAAUGGCUCACCAAGGCGACGAUCCGUAACUGGUCUGAGAGGAUGAUCAGUCACACUGGAACUGAGACACGGUCCAGACUCCUACGGGAGGCAGCAGUGGGGAAUAUUGGACAAUGGGCGAAAGCCUGAUCCAGCCAUGCCGCGUGUGUGAAGAAGGUCUUCGGAUUGUAAAGCGCUUUAGGUUGGGAGGAAGGGCAGUACAUUAAUACUUUGCUGUUUUGACGUUACCGACAGAAUAAGCACCGGCUAACUCUGUGCCAGCAGCCGCGGUAAUACAGAGGGUGCAAGCGUUAAUCGGAAUUACUGGGCGUAAAGCGCGCGUAGGUGGUUUGUUAAGUUGGAUGUGAAAUCCCCGGGCUCAACCUGGGAACUGCAUUCGUGACUGACUAGCUAGAGUAUGGUAGAGGGUGAUGGAAUUUCCUGUGUAGCGGUGAAAUGCGUAGAUAUACGAAGGAACACCGAUGGCGAAGGCGAUCACCUGGACUGAUACUGACACUGAUGUGCGAAAGCGUGGGGGAGCAAACAGGAUUAGAUACCCUGGUAGUCCACGCCGUAAACGAUGUCAACUGG